CCCGCCCGCGCGCGCCCCUCCCCCUCCGUUCGCCACAACAUUGUAGUAAAUUUCUAUUGGGCCGCGCCGGAGGGAAGGAGGGGGCCGGGCCCGCGGCCCGUCCGCCCAUUGGCUGAGGCCAACUUCUAGCUCCUCUUGUUUCCCCCCUCCCUUAGGCCGGUAAGGAGAGGAGAGGGGAAGGAAAAAGAGGAAAAGGCAAGGGGCCGGCCGCGUGUGCGCACGCGCAAGUCGAACCCGGUCUGGAGCUAGGGUGUUCCGGGAUCCCGCAGCACCCACGUGGGACAUGAGGCGGCUAGAGCCCUGGACGGUGAGGUCCUUUCCUCCUUCCAAGUAAGAGGCCGAGAUGCGGAAGCCUCAGGGAAGUAACUCACGUAGAGGUUGUAGCCAGGACUGACUCUCCCUAACCGCUUAGUGACCUCGGAAGUAUCAGAGACCCCUUGACCCUUCCUACUCCCUGAUAGGCUGGUCUGUGAACAGGCUUCGGACCCACAGUGCAAAAAGAAGGCUUUUGUUUGAAGCAUCAUACCUAGAAGUGAUCUCACUCUGUUGGCCAGGCUGAUAUGUAGUAGCGUGACUACAGCUCACUGC
Long non-coding RNA from Piliocolobus tephrosceles (Ugandan red Colobus), 588 nucleotides. RefSeq lists it as uncharacterized. The transcript has 3 exons. The record is from RefSeq and is a predicted model, not a curated record. Lineage: Eukaryota; Metazoa; Chordata; Mammalia; Primates; Cercopithecidae.